This 213-nucleotide unclassified non-coding RNA is filed under the name plant metagenome. RNAcentral's name for it is "partial contains small subunit ribosomal RNA, internal transcribed spacer 1, and 5.8S ribosomal RNA". The record is from RNAcentral.
UUUCCGUAGGUGAACCUGCGGAAGGAUCAUUCAUAAUAAGUGUUUUAUGGCACUUUUUUAAAUCCAUAUCCACCUUGUGUGCAAUGUCAGGGUUGAUUUUUCUCUCGAGAGGAUCAACCCCAAACAUCAACUAUAUCUCAACUCUUUGUCUGAAAAAUAUUAUGAAUAAAACAAUUCAAAAUACAACUUUCAACAACGGAUCUCUUGGUUCUG